This 99-nucleotide non-coding RNA is filed under the name Streptomyces sp. di188. Lineage: Bacteria; Bacillati; Actinomycetota; Actinomycetes; Kitasatosporales; Streptomycetaceae. The record is from RNAcentral. RNAcentral also lists the same sequence under 1 other name.
GAGAGCCCGGUGCGUGGAGACACGCACGCCGGGUUCGGCGAGCGGCACGGAGAAACGGAACGACGGCAACGUCGUCACCGCGCUCCGUGCCGACUCAAC